This 532-nucleotide ribosomal RNA is filed under the name uncultured Rhizophagus. Its description in RNAcentral is "LSU rRNA". It matches the Rfam family "Eukaryotic large subunit ribosomal RNA", at positions 288 to 673 of the family's 3401-position model. Lineage: Eukaryota; Fungi; Glomeromycota; Glomeromycetes; Glomerales; Glomeraceae. The record is from RNAcentral.
UAAAAUGGGAGGUAAAUUUCUCCUAAGGCUAAAUAACGGCGAGAGACCGAUAGCGAACAAGUACCGCGAGGGAAAGAUGAAAAGUACUUUGAAAAGAGAGUUAAACAGUACGUGAAAUUGUUGAAAGGGAAACGAUUGAAGCCAGUCGUACCAGCGGAUAAUCAGCCUUUAGAUGCGAUUUUGUGGAGCGUGAAGAGCUAAUCGCCUUCAUGCCUGUAUAUUCGUGUACUUGGGGUGUACUUAUUCGUGUGGUAAGUUAACAUCAAUUUUGGUUGUCAUAAAAUGAUUGGAGGAAUGUAGCUUCGAUCUCGUAUUGAAGUGUUAUAGCCUUUGGUAGAUGUGAUGAUCGGGAUUGAGGAUUGCAACGGAUACCCUUCGGGGCUACCUGUCUGAUCUCUGAUUGUUGCUUUGGUGCUGAAAGCUUGCUUAUGGUUAUCAAAGUCGAUGGUCAAUAGGUUAGAAUAGGUUAAAUUCGUUAAGGAUGUUGACGUAGUGGCUUUAAACGACCCGUCUUGAAACACGGACCGAGGAG